RNAcentral lists this ribosomal RNA (477 nucleotides) under uncultured bacterium. RNAcentral describes it as "partial 16S ribosomal RNA". It matches the Rfam family "Bacterial small subunit ribosomal RNA", at positions 29 to 507 of the family's 1533-position model. The record is from RNAcentral.
AUUGAACGCUGGCGGCAUGCCUUACACAUGCAAGUCGAACGGUAACAGGUUAAGCUGACGAGUGGCGAACGGGAGAGUAAUACAUCGGACCGUUCCCAUUAGUGGGGGAUAUCCCGGCGAAAGCCGGAUUCAUACCGCAUCCGACCUAAAGGGGAUAGGGGGGGAUCGCAAGACCUCCCUCUGUUUGACCGGCCGGUGUGGGAGUAGCUAGUUGGGGGGGUAAAAGCUCACCAAGGCGACGAUCUGUAGCUGGUCUGAGAGGACGACCAGCCACACGGGGAGUGAGAAACGGCACAGACACCGGGGGGAGGACGCGGCGGGGAAUUUUGGAGAAGGGGGGCAAGCGUGAUCCAGGCAUGCCGGGGGAGGGAAGAAGGCGCUAGGGUUGGAAACCGAUGUUGUCAGGGAAGAAAUAAUUUGGGUUAAUACGGCGGGGGGAUGACGGUACCGGAAGAAUAAGCACCGGCUAACUACGUG